AUAUCUCUCCGUACGGGAAGGAUGAGAAGCUUCGACUAAGGUUCGAUUCGAGCGAAAGCGAGAAAGCGUUGCCGCAGGCAACGACCCGAAGGGCGAAGGGCGAAGGGCGCAGCGCUGAGUCAUCCUUCCCCCACCACCA
This 139-nucleotide small RNA is filed under the name Salmonella enterica. Its description in RNAcentral is "RtT sRNA". It matches the Rfam family "RtT RNA". From Rfam's summary of the family: This family represents a bacterial cis-regulatory element known as RtT RNA. The exact function of RtT is unknown although it is thought that it may be involved in changing the cellular response in relation to amino acid starvation. RNAcentral also lists the same sequence under 6 other names. Lineage: Bacteria; Pseudomonadati; Pseudomonadota; Gammaproteobacteria; Enterobacterales; Enterobacteriaceae. The record is from RNAcentral.